RNAcentral lists this transfer RNA (65 nucleotides) under Champsodon cf. snyderi CBM-ZF 10876. RNAcentral describes it as "tRNA-Cys". The record is from RNAcentral. Lineage: Eukaryota; Metazoa; Chordata; Actinopteri; Acropomatiformes; Champsodontidae.
GACCCUGAAGUGUUAUAAUAAUAGACUGCAAAUCUGAAGAAGUGGAUUGAGUUCCACCGGGGUCU